This 253-nucleotide ribosomal RNA is filed under the name uncultured bacterium. Its description in RNAcentral is "partial 16S ribosomal RNA". It matches the Rfam family "Bacterial small subunit ribosomal RNA", at positions 524 to 776 of the family's 1533-position model. The record is from RNAcentral.
UAUGUAGGGGGCAAGCGUUGUCCGGAUUUACUGGGCGUAAAGGAUGCGUAGGCGGCCAUUUAAGUCAGAUGUGAAAUACCCGAGCUUAACUUGGGUGCUGCAUUUGAAACUGGGUGUCUAGAGUGCAGGAGAGGUAAGUGGAAUUCCUAGUGUAGCGGUGAAAUGCGUAGAGAUUAGGAAGAACACCAGUGGCGAAGGCGACUUACUGGACUGUAACUGACGCUGAGGCAUGAAAGCGUGGGGAGCAAACAGG